GACGAACGUUGGCGGCGUGCUUAAUACAUGCAAGUCAACUGAAGCAGUGGUAGCAAUAUCGCUGUGGAGGUGGCGCACGGGUGAGUAACACGUAGGUAAUCUGCCUUCAGGUCUGGCAUAACUCCGGGAAACCGGGGCUAAUAGCAGAUGAUGCAGCGGCUCGACAUCGAGACAGUUGUUAAAGCUAUGGCGCCUGAAGAUGAGCCUGCGUCUGAUUAGCUAGUUGGCGGGGUAACGGCCCACCAAGGCAACGAUCAGUAGCUGGUCUGAGAGGAUGAACAGGCACACUGGAACGGAGAAGAGGUCCAGACUACGACGGGAGGCAGCAGUAAGGAAUAUUGCUCAAUGGGAGAAAGCCUGAAGCAGCAACGCCGCGGAAGGGACGAAGAGCUUUUGCUUGUAAACCUCUGUAGUGAGAGAAAAAAAUCCAAAUCUGUGGGACAUGAUGGUAGCUCAAAAGUAAGCCCCGGCUAACUACGUG
RNAcentral lists this ribosomal RNA (481 nucleotides) under uncultured bacterium. Its description in RNAcentral is "partial 16S ribosomal RNA". It matches the Rfam family "Bacterial small subunit ribosomal RNA", at positions 28 to 507 of the family's 1533-position model. The record is from RNAcentral.